Long non-coding RNA from Crotalus tigris (Tiger rattlesnake), 3154 nucleotides. RefSeq lists it as uncharacterized. The record is from RefSeq and is a predicted model, not a curated record. NCBI's taxonomy places the organism in Eukaryota, Metazoa, Chordata, Lepidosauria, Squamata, Viperidae. The transcript is spliced from 3 exons.
UUAACAAAUGUCUCACUUAGCAACAGAAACUUUGGGCUCAAUUGUGGUUAUAAGUCAAGGACUACCACUAUUGAAAAUUCAGAAGGGUUCAUGAAAUGUUAAGCACUAUUGUACAGACGGUUGCAUGCAUCUUCCCAGUUAUUUCUUCUCUCCUCUGGCCCCUUUAGAAAUCUCAGCUGCAGAAAGAUGUAGAUGUAACGAAAGCUUAUUGUAUAAUUCUGUUGGAAUGCAAGCAAAUGGUAAAUUUGCCUUUUCUUUUGAAGAAAGGCAACUGUAACUUGAGACGAUUUGGGGCGUAAGAGAUGAAGUUACCAGAUGGCAGAAAGAGGUAGCUGCUCUUGCAGUGAAGUGAAGGAAUUCAGCCCAGUAGAGUCAGAUUUGGUUAGAACUUGGAUAUACAAUCACCAGAAAAUCAAAGGGCUUUACCUUAAACUGAGAAAUGCUGGAAGAACACACUGGCAACUCCCCCCUCCUCUUUUUAAUUGUUUCCAUGAACAUUACGUGUACAAGAAACUGAGCUCACAUGUGUCUUUAACUUUACUUUUAGAGAGAAGAGAAAGGAUUAACAGUUGGCUAGAGGGAAAAGAAAAGGAAAAAGGAGAUUUUUUUUUUUUAAAAAAAAUGAUUCUACUUUUGGGCUGCCAAAAUUCAUGAGACAUUAAAAUUUCUGUAUCUCUUUGUUGCUAUUCAAUGCAUUCUCUGAGGGCACAGUGGCCUAGCAGUGACUGAGGCUGCAUCUUGCCCAACUGCUGGAAUUAGCUGACAACCAUUUCUGGAAGACAGACAUGGAUGACAUCACCCUCCACUGAGGAUGCUUUGACAGUGAGAUGAAGAUCCAUGGAGAUGACUUCAUCCACGCAAACAGUUGCCAGUCUGUUCUAACAACAAGUCAAGAGCUAAGCAUGGAUGUCACACAUUGACUGGGCUUGCGCAAAUUAUUUAACUAGGGCCAGAAGAUGGACAGCUGCCUCAUCAAGGUCACCAGGGAGCUGACCAUGUCCUUCCCAGGGGCAUCCGGGUCUUCAGCAGUGCUCUGGCCCUCCCAGUCCUCAGCUUCUGCCUGCUGCACAUGGUACCCAUCAAGCAGUUCCUGUCCAAUGCUAGCCUACUCUUCAGUGACUCCUCACAGAGUGACCCCAGCAGUAGAAACUUCUGGCUCAACAUGGCCGCCCUGACUGGACACUUCCAGAAACAAGCUGAGCAGGUGGGGGCCACCCCCUAUUACAACAUGAUCCUGCUCAGAUGGGGCUGCAGCUGGGAGUGCGUCGUGGAGGCCACCCGGGUGAGCGUGGACUAUUGCUAUACUGCUGCCCUGGCUCAGUCAUGGCCCUCACCAAUGUGCAGGUGCUGCUGCCCAUCAAGGAGCCCAUGGCCAAUGUCCAGCCCUGGCCAAGGCCUGCCGGAACCAGGAGGAGAAGCGCCUGCUCUGGCAACUCCUGGGCAUCCCCAGCACCCAGGGCCAGGGAGGCUCCGGCCACCUCCUGGCCAGCUGGGAGCGCUUGGACGGCCCCAGAAGGCCCAUCCCAGUGACCGCCCAGUUCACCAGCAAGGGCAGCAUCACCUUGGGGGCCUAUGUGGAGCUGGUGGGCAGCGGCUACCAGAUGUCGCUGGUGAAGAAGAGAUUUGCCACAGGAAUAUAUCUCACCAGCUCCCAAACAUCAGCGGCCCUGGGAGGUUUUCUCCCGAAGUCUUCUGGGAGACAGAAAUAAUAUAUAUAUGUAUUUUAAAUUAUUUUCUUCCUGGAUUUUAAAAGUUUUUUUGGGGGGAAGCCUGGCUGGAGGCCUGGGAGGCCAGAAGAGGACAUGAUUCCUUGAACCUGGACCCCAUACGUGGCCACGACUUUUCUCCCUUCCUCUGCUUUCAUCCAGAUUGCCCGUCUGCCUCUUCCGAAGCAUGACCGGUUGGUCCUGCCUCGUUCUGGAAGCAGCCAAAGGGAAAGGCCCUGGUGGGAAUGUUGGCCUUUUAAUAAACAUGUUUGUUUUUUUCUGGCUAAUCCAUGAUUCUGCAGGGCGUUGUGCAAACCUAGAAAAUUUAUUGAAUCAGGAAUCAAGUUAAAUAUUUAACAUGUAUGUGUGUGUGUGUAUAUAUGUAUAUUACAUACAAACAAUCCCAUUUAAAAUGAAGUCUUAUUCAGGUCUGUAAAAUUGAUUGCCAGAGUUUUUAUGGUUGGUGCUUUUUUCACAUGGAUUGAUGCACUCCCCGUGGGUUGGAUUAUUGACUUUCAAACUAAGUAUGAUGGGGUUCUGUAUAUGUAAUAGAUGCAGACCUAAUAAAAAAAAUGAUGAUGACGAAAGCCAAAUCCUAAAAAUGCAGCUUUUUAACUUUUAGUCUAUGGAUUGUUUAACUCAACUUGGACUUUUAACUGGGAUCAUUAUCAUCUUCUGCUUCCCAAGACAUGAAGAUGCCUGUUUUUAAAUGACAUGGCCUCAUGAUACCAUCUUUCUCAUCUUCCUGCAGUUUUAGCCUAAUAACCCUCAAUGUUUCCAGUAUUAAACUAGCUUUUCCCCUCCUCACUUUUCCAUAUGAGCAAUCUAUGACAUUUCACUGACAAUGUCAGCAAUGAUGACACUCAAGGGCUAUCAUGGAUUCCUGCCCUCCCCUCUAAUCUCUGAACAAUGCCCUCCAUAGGCAUUUUGACUUGGAUUGAUGGAUAGCUCUUUGAGAGGGGCAAUUGUUUACGUUAUAGAACAUAGAAUCAUAAGGCUGGAAGAGACCUUGGAGAUCUUCUAGUCCAACCCCUUGCCCAAGGCUGGUGACCUUGUACCAUCCUGAAGAAAUGAAUGUCCAAUUUUUUCUUGAAAACCUUCAGUGAUGGAGCACCCACAACUUCAGGAAGCAAGCUGUUCCAUUGAUUAAUUGUUCUCACUGUCAGGAAAUUUCUCCUUAGUUCUAGAUUGGAGUUCUCUUCAACAAGCUUCCACCCAGAGAUUUUUUAGAACAAUGGAUGUGGCAGAGAUAUUUAUAACAGAGACUAUCAACUUUGGAAAUGAGAUGCAAUUGUUCGGAAAGUUUUCAAUUAAAAUCCUAAGGAAAGAUUUUAUUAUUAAGAGCCAAAUGAAGAUACUUGAUCCUGGAUGGAUUGGAGAUUAUUGAGGUUAUCUAUGAUAGAUAAGAAACCAUUGUAGACUUUUUAUGAAUUAAUUACAAUAACAGA